GUAACCUGGUUGAUCCUGCCAGUAGUCAUAUGCUUGUCUCAAAGAUUAAGCCAUGCAUGUCUAAGUAUAAGCGACUUGUACUGUGAAACUGCGAAUGGCUCAUUAAAUCAGUUAUGGUUUCUUUGAUGGUACCUUGCUACUUGGAUACCCGUAGUAAUUCUAGAGCUAAUACAUGCAGGAGUUCCCGACUUCGG
Molecule: ribosomal RNA, 194 nt
Filed under: uncultured eukaryote
Lineage: Eukaryota
Description: partial 18S ribosomal RNA
Rfam family: Eukaryotic small subunit ribosomal RNA
Source: RNAcentral